RNAcentral lists this ribosomal RNA (281 nucleotides) under uncultured Chlamydiae bacterium. Its description in RNAcentral is "partial 16S ribosomal RNA". It matches the Rfam family "Bacterial small subunit ribosomal RNA", at positions 49 to 316 of the family's 1533-position model. The record is from RNAcentral. Lineage: Bacteria; Pseudomonadati; Chlamydiota; Chlamydiia.
GAUGAGGCAUGCAAGUCGAACGGAUACAGUAGCUUGCUAUUGUAUUAGUGGCGGAAGGGUUAGUAAUACAUGGGUAACUUGCCUUUAACUUGGGAAUAACGAUUGGAAACGAUCGCUAAUACCGAAUGUGGUGACACUAGGCAUCUAGUGUUCAUUAAAGUGGGGGAUCGCAAGACCUCGCGGUUAAAGAGAGGCCCAUGGGAUAUCAGCUAGUUGGUGAGGUAAAAGCUCACCAAGGCUAAGACGUCUAGGCGGAUUGAGAGAUUGACCGCCAACACUGG